RNAcentral lists this ribosomal RNA (420 nucleotides) under uncultured crenarchaeote. RNAcentral's name for it is "bacterial SSU rRNA". It matches the Rfam family "Archaeal small subunit ribosomal RNA", at positions 459 to 879 of the family's 1478-position model. Lineage: Archaea; Thermoproteati; Thermoproteota. The record is from RNAcentral.
CAGCCGCCGCGGUAACACCAGCCCCUCGAGUGGUGGGGACUAUUAUUUGGCCUAAAGCGUCCGUAGCUGGCUGUAUCCGUCUCCCGGUAAAUCCGGCGUCCUAAGCGUCGGUUCUCGGGUGAUACCAUACAGCUAGAGGGUGGGAUAGGUGAGCGGUAUUUCUGGGGUAGGGGCGAAAUCCUUUGAUCCCAGGAGGACCACCAGUGGCGAAGGCUGCUCACUAGAACACGCCUGACGGUCAGGGACGAAAGCUGGGGUAGCGAACCGGAUUAGAUACCCGGGUAGUCCCAGCUGUAAACGAUGCACGCUAGGUGUUGGGUCGGCCACGCGCCGCCCCAGUGCCGCAGGGAAGCCGUUAAGCGUGCCGCCUGGGGAGUACGGCCGCAAGGCUGAAACUUAAAGGAAUUGGCGGGGGAGCAC